RNAcentral lists this ribosomal RNA (777 nucleotides) under uncultured Neocallimastigales. Its description in RNAcentral is "partial large subunit ribosomal RNA". It matches the Rfam family "Eukaryotic large subunit ribosomal RNA", at positions 20 to 643 of the family's 3401-position model. The record is from RNAcentral. Lineage: Eukaryota; Fungi; Neocallimastigomycota; Neocallimastigomycetes; Neocallimastigales.
UACUAGAGUAGCACUCGCAUAUCAAUAAGCGGAGGAAAAGAAACUAACAAGGAUUCCCUUAGUAACGGCGAGUGAAGCGGGAAGAGCUCAAAUUUGAAAUCUUCAAGGUUCUACCUUGACGAAUUGUAGUUUAAUAGAAGUGUUUUCUGUUAGUAGGAGUGGCAAAAGUUCUUUGGAAUAGGACAUCAUAGAGGGUGAGAAUCCCGUAUUUGGUCAUUCCUUCUAGCUUUGUGAUACACUUUCAACGAGUCGGAUUGUUUGGGAAUGCAGUCCAAAAUGGGUGGUAAAUUUCAUCUAAAGCUAAAUAUUGGCGAGAGACCGAUAGCGAACAAGUACCGUGAGGGAAAGAUGAAAAGAACUUUGAAAAGAGAGUUAAACAGUACGUGAAAUUGUCAAAAGGGAAGCGUUUGACACCAGUGUUGUUUUUCCGAAAAUCAAUUACGAAUGUUUUGUUUUUGAAGAGUUAUGACUUCAUCGGCUUGCUUCCUUUCCUUACGAAACUUUCUUAAUGCACUUUUCGGUUAACAAGUCAACAUCAAUUUCUUUUGUUGUAAAAGGGUACGAGGAAGGUGGCUUUCUUUUCGGAGAAAGUGUUUAUAGCCUUGUACCUCUGCAAUCGGAGAGAUUGAGGUCUGCAGCGUAGAUCCUUCGGGGUUAGAUACAUUUGUGCUAAGUUAUAGCUUUUCAUAGACAACUUGUUGACUAUGUUAAGUCUUGUAGCUUACUCGCUUAGGCUAUUUUACCUACGCUUAGGAUGUUGAAGAUGUAGCACAUCAU